UACGGAGGGUGCGAGCGUUGUCCGGAAUCAUUGGGCGUAAAGGGCGCGUAGGUGGCCCGGUAAGCGUGCGGUGAAAGCUUGGGGCUCAACCCCGAGUCGGCCGUGCGAACUGCUGGGCUUGAGCACUGUAGAGGCAGGCGGAAUUCCGGGUGUCGCGGUGGAAUGCGUAGAGAUCCGGAAGAACACCGGUGGCGAAGGCGGCCUGCUGGGCAGUGGCUGACACUGAGGCGCGACAGCGUGGGGAGCAAACAGG
This 253-nucleotide ribosomal RNA is filed under the name uncultured bacterium. RNAcentral describes it as "partial 16S ribosomal RNA". It matches the Rfam family "Bacterial small subunit ribosomal RNA", at positions 524 to 776 of the family's 1533-position model. The record is from RNAcentral.